CGCGCAGGCGGCGCUCCAAGCCCGACGUGAAAGCCCCCGGCUCAACCGGGGAGGGUCGUCGGGGACUGGGGCGCUUGAGGGCGGUAGGGGCCGGUGGAAUUCCCGGUGUAGUGGUGAAAUGCGUAGAGAUCGGGAGGAACACCAGUAGCGAAGGCGGCCGGCUGGGCCGACCCUGACGCUGAGGCGCGAAGGCGUGGGGAGCGAACG
This 207-nucleotide ribosomal RNA is filed under the name uncultured bacterium. RNAcentral describes it as "partial 16S ribosomal RNA". It matches the Rfam family "Bacterial small subunit ribosomal RNA", at positions 568 to 774 of the family's 1533-position model. The record is from RNAcentral.